This 616-nucleotide unclassified non-coding RNA is filed under the name Homo sapiens (human). RNAcentral's name for it is "novel transcript (ENSG00000290480.1)". The record is from RNAcentral. Lineage: Eukaryota; Metazoa; Chordata; Mammalia; Primates; Hominidae.
GCUACCAGUUUCCAGAUGACGUAGGCGUCUCUAUUGGGACCCCCUUGGACCUUCAGUGGAUCCGACUGGAGAUUCAUUACAGCAAUUUUAACAACCUUCCUGGUGUGUAUGAUUCCUCGGGGAUUUGCGUGUACUACACUUCUCAGCUGCGCAAAUACGACACGGAUGUCCUCCAGCUGGGCUUCUUCACGUUUCCCAUCCACUUCAUCCCCCCGGGCGCUGAGUCCUUCAUGUCCUAUGGGCUGUGUAGGACGGAGAAGUUUGAGGAGAUGAAUGGAGCUCCUAUGCCUGACAUAUAGGUAUAUGGCUACCUGCUACACACCCACUUGGCUGGACGGGCUCUGCAAGCAGUGCAAUACAGGAAUGGAACACAACUUCGAAAAAUCUGUAAAGACGAUUCCUAUGACUUCAACCUGCAGGAGACUCGAGAUUUGCCCUCUAGAGUGGAGAUCAAGCCGGGAGAUGAAUUGCUGGUAGAAUGUCACUACCAGACACUGGACCGUGACUCCAUGACAUUUGGAGGCCCCAGCACCAUUAAUGAGAUGUGCCUCAUCUUCCUCUUCUACUAUCCCCAAAAUAACAUCUCCAGCUGCAUGGGGUACCCUGACAUUAUCUA